RNAcentral lists this ribosomal RNA (396 nucleotides) under uncultured bacterium. RNAcentral describes it as "partial 16S ribosomal RNA". It matches the Rfam family "Bacterial small subunit ribosomal RNA", at positions 360 to 774 of the family's 1533-position model. The record is from RNAcentral.
AAUAUUGCACAAUGGGGGAAACCCUGAUGCAGCGACGCCGCGUGAGCGAAGAAGGCCUUUGGGUCGUAAAGAUCUGUCAUAAUGGAAGAAACGGACGGGACCCUAGGCGGAAGACCCGGCUAACUACGUGCAAGACGCCGCGGUAAUACGUAGGGGGCGAGCGUUAUUCGGAAUUAUUGGGCGUAAAGGGUGCGUAGGCAGGCUUUUAAGUCAGAUGUGAAAGGCUACGGCUUAACCGUAGAUAGAAUUUGAAACUAAAAGGCUUGAGUGCAGGAGAGGAAAGUGGAAUUCCUAGUGUAGCGGUGAAAUGCGUAGAUAUUAGGAGGAACACCAGUGGCGAAGGCGACUCUCUGGACUGCAACUGACGCUGAGUCACGAAAGCGUGGGGAGCGAACA